This 497-nucleotide ribosomal RNA is filed under the name uncultured bacterium. RNAcentral's name for it is "partial 16S ribosomal RNA". It matches the Rfam family "Bacterial small subunit ribosomal RNA", at positions 28 to 507 of the family's 1533-position model. The record is from RNAcentral.
GAUGAACGCUGGCGGCGUGCCUAAUACAUGCAAGUCGAGCGAACAGAUAAGGAGCUUGCUCCUUUGACGUUAGCGGCGGACGGGUGAGUAACACGUGGAUAACCUACCUAUAAGACUGGGAUAACUUCGGGAAACCGGAGCUAAUACCGGAUAACAUAUUGAACCGCAUGGUUCAAUAGUGAAAGGCGGCUUUGCUGUCACUUAUAGAUGGAUCCGCGCCGUAUUAGCUAGUUGGUAAGGUAACGGCUUACCAAGGCAACGAUACGUAGCCGACCUGAGAGGGUGAUCGGCCACACUGGAACUGAGACACGGUCCAGACUCCUACGGGAGGCAGCAGUAGGGAAUCGUCCGCGAUGGGCGAAAGCCUGACGGAGCAACGCCGCGUGAGUGAUGAAGGUCUUCGGAUCGGAAAACUCUGUUAUCAGGGAAGAACAAAUGUGUAAGUAACUGUGCACAUCUUGACGGUACCUGAUCAGAAAGCCACGGCUAACUACGUG